RNAcentral lists this transfer RNA (72 nucleotides) under Akkermansia sp. Its description in RNAcentral is "tRNA-Val". It matches the Rfam family "tRNA". Rfam says of the family: Transfer RNA (tRNA) molecules are approximately 80 nucleotides in length. Their secondary structure includes four short double-helical elements and three loops (D, anti-codon, and T loops). The record is from RNAcentral. Lineage: Bacteria; Pseudomonadati; Verrucomicrobiota; Verrucomicrobiia; Verrucomicrobiales; Akkermansiaceae.
GCACGGAUAGCUCAGCGGUAGAGCGGCUCGUUUACACCGAGUUGGUCGGGGGUUCAAAUCCCUCUCCGUGUA